Molecule: ribosomal RNA, 208 nt
Filed under: uncultured bacterium
Lineage: Bacteria
Description: partial 16S ribosomal RNA
Rfam family: Bacterial small subunit ribosomal RNA
Source: RNAcentral
CGCGCAGGCGGCGUCGUAAGUCGGUCUUAAAAAGUGCGGGGCUUAAACCCCCGUGAGGGGACCGAAACUGCGAUGCUAGAGUAUCGGAGAGGAAAGCGGAAUUCCUAGUGUAGCGGUGAAAUGCGUAGAUAUUAGGAGGAGCACCAGUGGCGAAGGCGGCUUUCUGGACUGUAACUGACACUGAGGCUCGAAAGCCAGGGGAGCGAAG